RNAcentral lists this ribosomal RNA (427 nucleotides) under uncultured beta proteobacterium. RNAcentral's name for it is "bacterial SSU rRNA". It matches the Rfam family "Bacterial small subunit ribosomal RNA", at positions 355 to 774 of the family's 1533-position model. The record is from RNAcentral. Lineage: Bacteria; Pseudomonadati; Pseudomonadota; Betaproteobacteria.
UGGGGAAUUUUGGACAAUGGGCGAAAGCCUGAUCCAGCCAUGCCGCGUGAGUGAAGAAGGCCUUCGGGUUGUAAAGCUCUUUUAGUCGGAAAGAAAGAGUUGCAAUGAAUAAUUGUGAUUUAUGACGGUACCGACAGAAAAAGCACCGGCUAACUACGUGCCAGCAGCCGCGGUAAUACGUUGGGUGCGAGCGUUAAUCGGAAUUACUGGGCGUAAAGGGUGCGCAGGCGGUCUUGCAAGUCAGAUGUGAAAGCCCCGGGCUUAACCUGGGAAUUGCGUUUGAAACUACAAGACUAGAGUGCAGCAGAGGGGAGUGGAAUUCCAUGUGUAGCAGUGAAAUGCGUAGAGAUGUGGAAGAACACCGAUGGCGAAGGCAGCUCCCUGGGUUGACACUGACGCUCAUGCACGAAAGCGUGGGGAGCAAACA